Molecule: non-coding RNA, 526 nt
Organism: Doryrhamphus excisus (bluestripe pipefish)
Lineage: Eukaryota; Metazoa; Chordata; Actinopteri; Syngnathiformes; Syngnathidae
Source: RefSeq, a predicted model, not a curated record
GGUCAAUACAGCUUAGACAUAGCUUGUGGCUGCAGGGUAAAGUCACAACACCCACUGACUGGCAACCUGGACACUCGAGCUCUUCUUCCGUUUGGGUUCCACAUUGACACAAGCACCUCCCACUCAGCUGCUGCAUGCCUCCUCCACUCAUAUCAUGAAAGGUCAUCAAAUGACGUGAUAAAAAUACUUGACAGAGUUUGGAUUGAGGGUCAAGGACACCCAGCUGGAAGGGGCCCCAUGUUCACUUCACAGUAAACAAGGUUUUGUCAGGCUGACAAAAAUCCAAACGUUGUCAAUGAUUCCAAUGUUUUCAAUAACAUCUACCGAGUCCCUCUGUUAACAUGAGGUUGAAUAUUUUUUUUAAAGAUAUUCUACUUCUAUGAAGUAUGCUGGAACAUGUAAAUUUCCUAAUGGGGAUGAAUAAAGUACCUACCUACCUACCUAGCUAAAAACACAAAGUGCCCAUAAAGCAACUCUAUGAAGUAUAUAUCUAUGUUAAACAGAUCAUUUUACUAUGCAAAUAAAU